UAUAACCACAAGGAUCAAAAUUGUAAUUUACUCUUUUUGCUAUCUUAAAUUGUUAUUUUUUUAUUUAAUCAUCUUUUUAACAAACAUUGUUUUCCGUUAAAUCACUUCUUCAUAAAAAAAUAGAAAAAUGUGUAAAGAAACCAUAUAUUUUGUAUAUUGCAUGAAGUAUUGAUUGAUCAUUGUAUUGUUGUUGAUUCAGAUCUUACAAUUGUAAGAUGUUGUAAGAUCUAAUAUAGGGUUUGACUGGGAGACUUUUGGGUUGGUUAAAUCAAUAGAAGUUUUUCGUUGCCGUUUUGUCACUAUAUCCUUUGUUUGGUGUUGAUUUCAUACCUUUUUAGAAAAACCAUCCGUAUUCACCCGACGCGUUAUAAUAUGUGAGAUUGAUUGCGCGACCCACCCAUCCACUUUUUUUUGAACGACCAACAAAAUCAAUCCCGAGCACUCCCAGGGCACCCACUAGACCAAAAGGAGUACUCCGAGACUAACCUGAGUCCACCACCAUUUCCGGGGAAAACCUGAUGACCCACCCGCCCUAGGCACGGUGAUGAAAUUACUAGUAAAACUCGUUUGGCUCAAGAAUCAAACCAAGGUUUCCCUGGGCUCCUAUCUGCAUCAAGUGGGAGUUGAAUCUGUAUCUCUCAAGAGAAAUGUCUGUCGCAACACGGAUGUCCUAGGUCGAGUCAGUGUUGGUAGUCGCUAACGGUGCUGUGACAUUGGCCAGUCAACCCGCAGUCAUUGGUAUCGAUAGGUUCAUGUCGAUAACUAACGUGCUUCAUUUUACACUGUGUGCUUCAGAUGUUUAUAUGCUUGGCUUGCUGUGAAAUUGAGGCUAGGAAUGGUCUAGAAACGAAUAUAUGAAUUGUCUGUAUUUGAAACCUGAGUUGUCGGAACAGAACAAUUUUACUAGAUUUUGUCAGUAAUAAUUAUAUUACUUUUUAUGUCA
This is a long non-coding RNA of Helianthus annuus (common sunflower), 943 nucleotides long. RefSeq lists it as uncharacterized. Lineage: Eukaryota; Viridiplantae; Streptophyta; Magnoliopsida; Asterales; Asteraceae. The transcript has 3 exons. The record is from RefSeq and is a predicted model, not a curated record.